Molecule: ribosomal RNA, 460 nt
Filed under: uncultured bacterium
Lineage: Bacteria
Description: partial 16S ribosomal RNA
Rfam family: Bacterial small subunit ribosomal RNA
Source: RNAcentral
CCUACGGGUGGCAGCAGUGAGGAAUAUUGGUCAAUGGACGAGAGUCUGAACCAGCCAAGUAGCGUGAAGGAUGACUGCCCUAUGGGUUGUAAACUUCUUUUAUAUCGGAAUAAAAUGUUCCACGUGUGGGAUUUUGUAUGUACCAUAUGAAUAAGGAUCGGCUAACUCCGUGCCAGCAGCCGCGGUAAUACGGAGGAUCCGAGCGUUAUCCGGAUUUAUUGGGUUUAAAGGGAGCGUAGGUGGAUUGUUAAGUCAGUUGUGAAAGUUUGCGGCUCAACCGUAAAAUUGCAGUUGAAACUGGCAGUCUUGAGUACAGUAGAGGUGGGCGGAAGUCGUGGUGUAGCGGUGAAAUGCUUAGAUAUCACGAAGAACUCCGAUUGCGAAGGCAGUUCACUGGACUGCAACUGACACUGAGGCUCGAAAGUGUGGGUAUCAAACAGGAUUAGAUACCCCUGUAGUC